AUUCACUCACACUCAUGGAAAUUUCGAGACCACAUGAGGCAGACAAAUCGAGUUCUCGAAGAGACUGAACGGCACCACUCGGGGUAUAAAUAGAGGCUCGCGCUCCGACAGCAGUCAUUCGAAAAAAUAAGUGUUGAAGUGAAGUUCUCCGUGAAACAAAAAAAAAACAGUUCAAAUAUAAAAUUAUUCCCCAUCACAGUGUUUAUACUACAUAAAGUUAUAUAUACACAUGUAUAUAUUCUAUACAUAUAUUCGCAUUAGUCAUCAACAAUGAAAAAGUGUAAAACAACUGCCUUAAAGGCAAAGCUGAGAAGUUACAACAUGGCACGAAGGCUGAAAUAAUCGAUAGUUCCACAUUUUCACCACAUUUGGCUGUGAACAAAGAAAACACGUCGACAUCUCGUUUGUGGGCACAAUCGGGCUAAUUUCGCAAUGAGGAAAAUGGGCGACACAUAACCACAUAACCACUUGGCAGUGCUGAAACAGAGUUGUUCCUCUUUGUCUAGAAAGUUGGUCAUUAGGCAGGCUGUAAAGGCGACAGAUGCCCGGGGCCAGGAGUUUCGGUUGCCAGGCUAAAAAGGCUUAGGCAGGCAAUGAAGGCGCUCUAUUAUCCAUGGCCAUUGUCGGUGUGUGUCUGGACUUGAGGAGUUGGCAUAGGAUACCAGUUGGGCGUUGAAAAGUUGAUAUGCGAUCGAUCGAACUUGUAACUCGAAACUCGAAACCCUUUGCAGCCAAUUGCUGAAAAUGCAUUUGACUCACAUUUGCCAAGUCUUGGCAAGAGUUCAGAGUUCUGCGACUGAGUCGCGGCCUACACAGGGUUACGUCGUUUUUAUCAGAUUGAUUGCGUGGAUUGAAUUAAUAGGAACCAAUAUCGACUUCUCUGCUCUACUAUGACUUGUUGCAAAAGGCGUCCAGUUAUUUACGGCCUUCUGUUUGUUACCUAUCAUCAUCGAGCCGAUAUCAGUAUCGACCAAACAAUGUACUCUUGACAUCGAUCGCUUAAAUCAAUUCAAAUAUCGUACCGGAGUAGAAACUGAACGAGCUGAAUGGUAGUUCGUUAGAUGCGCCGCUAACAACAAUCUAUUAUUCAUUUUAUUUUCUUUGUUUUAAUCAUAAACAUGAGGAGUACACACACAACGUGUUACUUAAGUUUCUAACAACACCUGAUAUUAUAUGAUUUUUCUGUUUUGUACACAUCAAGAUAUAAGAAAACUUUUGACCUAUAUUGUUGUAAUUAUACUUGUCCAAAACAAAAAUAGAAAGAAAAAAAUCAGAAAAAGAAAGCGCUCACUCACAGAAAAGAAGCAUAAAACAAAAGAAUAAAAGAUGAAAUGAAUUCUAAUAAAUUUCGAAACAAU
Drosophila albomicans is the source of this 1358-nucleotide long non-coding RNA. RefSeq lists it as uncharacterized. The record is from RefSeq and is a predicted model, not a curated record. The transcript is spliced from 2 exons. Lineage: Eukaryota; Metazoa; Arthropoda; Insecta; Diptera; Drosophilidae.